GUUAACGCUGGCGGCGUGCCUAACACAUGCAAGUCGAACGGUUCUAAGCGCGAGCUUAGGAUAGUGGCGAACGGGUGAGUAAAAGGUAGGAAUCUACCCCUUGGACGGAGAUAGCUACUGGAAACGGUAGGUAAACUUCGAUAAGCCCGAGAGGGGAAAGUGGUGAGACAGCCGAGGGAUGAGCCUACUCUCCAUCAGGUAGUUGGUGAGAUAAAAGCUUACCAAGCCGAUGACGGAUAACCGGUGUGAGAGCAUGAACGGUCACAAGGGCACUGAGAGACGGGCCCUACUCCUACGGGAGGCAGCAGUGGGGAAUCUUGGACAAUGGGCGAAAGCCUGAUCCAGCGACGCCGCGUGGAGGAAGAAGUCCUUCGGGAUGUAAACUUCUGAACUAGCCGAAUAGAAGGCCUGUGGACACACAGGAGAAGAAAGUAGGCUAGGAAAAGUCCCGGCUAACUACGUG
Molecule: ribosomal RNA, 463 nt
Filed under: uncultured bacterium
Lineage: Bacteria
Description: bacterial SSU rRNA
Rfam family: Bacterial small subunit ribosomal RNA
Source: RNAcentral